UACAGAGGUCUCAAGCGUUGUUCGGAUUCAUUGGGCGUAAAGGGUGCGUAGGUGGCGGGGUAAGUCUGGUGUGAAAUCUCGGGGCUCAACCCCGAAACUGCACUGGAUACUGCCUUGCUCGAGUACUGGAGAGGAGAUUGGAAUUUACGGUGUAGCAGUGAAAUGCGUAGAUAUCGUAAGGAAGACCAGUGGCGAAGGCGAAUCUCUGGACAGUUACUGACACUGAGGCGCGAAGGCCAGGGGAGCAAACGGG
This 253-nucleotide ribosomal RNA is filed under the name uncultured bacterium. Its description in RNAcentral is "partial 16S ribosomal RNA". It matches the Rfam family "Bacterial small subunit ribosomal RNA", at positions 524 to 776 of the family's 1533-position model. The record is from RNAcentral.